Non-coding RNA from Brachypodium distachyon (stiff brome), 125 nucleotides. Lineage: Eukaryota; Viridiplantae; Streptophyta; Magnoliopsida; Poales; Poaceae. The record is from Rfam.
UUAGUACUCCCUCUGAUCCGUAUUAAUUGUCGAAAUAUUACAUGUAUCUAAACGCUUUUUAGGCAUAGAUGCAUCCAUAUUUGAGCAAAUUUGAGACAAUUAAUAUGGAUCGGAGGGAGUAUAUU